RNAcentral lists this ribosomal RNA (468 nucleotides) under uncultured bacterium. RNAcentral's name for it is "partial 16S ribosomal RNA". It matches the Rfam family "Bacterial small subunit ribosomal RNA", at positions 28 to 507 of the family's 1533-position model. The record is from RNAcentral.
GACGAACGCUGGCGGCGUGCUUAACACAUGCAAGUCGAACGGAAAGGCCCUGCUUUUGUGGGGUGCUCGAGUGGCGAACGGGUGAGUAACACGUGAGUAACCUGCCCUUGACUUUGGGAUAACUUCAGGAAACUGGGGCUAAUACCGGAUAGGAGCUCCUGCUGCAUGGUGGGGGUUGGAAAGUUUCGGCGGUUGGGGAUGGACUCGCGGCUUAUCAGCUUGUUGGUGGGGUAGUGGCUUACCAAGGCUUUGACGGGUAGCCGGCCUGAGAGGGUGACCGGCCACAUUGGGAGUGAGAUACGGCCCAGACUCCUACGGGGGGCAGCAGUGGGGAAUGUUGCACAAUGGGCGGAAGCCUGAUGGGGGGACGCCGGGUGCGGGAUGACGGCCUUCGGGGUGUAAACGGCUUUCGCCUGUGACGAAGCGUGAGUGACGGUAAUGGGUAAAGAAGCACCGGCUAACUACGUG